UACGGAGGGAGCUAGCGUUGUUCGGAAUUACUGGGCGUAAAGCGCACGUAGGCGGUUUUUCAAGUCAGGGGUGAAAGCCCGGAGCUCAACUCCGGAACUGCCUCUGAAACUGGAUGACUUGAAUCUUGGAGAGGUCAGUGGAAUUCCGAGUGUAGAGGUGAAAUUCGUAGAUAUUCGGAAGAACACCAGUGGCGAAGGCGACUGACUGGACAAGUAUUGACGCUGAGGUGCGAAAGCGUGGGGAGCAAACAGG
RNAcentral lists this ribosomal RNA (253 nucleotides) under uncultured bacterium. RNAcentral describes it as "partial 16S ribosomal RNA". It matches the Rfam family "Bacterial small subunit ribosomal RNA", at positions 524 to 776 of the family's 1533-position model. The record is from RNAcentral.